This 350-nucleotide long non-coding RNA is filed under the name Phoenix dactylifera (date palm). RNAcentral's name for it is "long non-coding RNA (PDAC_LNC003435)". The record is from RNAcentral. Lineage: Eukaryota; Viridiplantae; Streptophyta; Magnoliopsida; Arecales; Arecaceae.
UAUUAUAUGUGAUAACAUCAAGCUUCUACAUGCCACAAGAUUCUCAAAAGUUGUGGUGUUAUCAUGCUACACAAUCACUGCAAGCCACAAAUCUUUGAGGUCCUAAAAACAUUAUUUAUCGAAUCAUUUAUUUCUUUUUGUAUCCAUAUAUCCACUUCUUUUUCCUUGCCAGCCUUGUUAUCAGUGUCGAGUUUCAAAUUUUGAAGGUCCUUGGUUAUCUUGCUCUCUUGAUAUUUUUGAUUUUUGGCAGGCAAGCCUCCAUGAGUGGGCUUGCCGGAGUCCAAACGAUUUCCAUCCAAACCACCUCCUGCUCUGUCCUUUGAUACUUGGCAAAUCUCAUGGGAUUGGCC